AUGCUAACUAUCCUGAAGAUGAGCGGCGACACCAUGCCGCUUUCAAGAUAGCGAACGAGUUUCCUAACCAACCCCUCGGUACUAAAGAGU
Molecule: transfer RNA, 90 nt
Filed under: Klebsiella phage vB_KpnS_Uniso31
Lineage: Duplodnaviria; Heunggongvirae; Uroviricota; Caudoviricetes; Demerecviridae
Description: tRNA-Ser
Source: RNAcentral